UGCUCGGUGGCAGCCUCGCU
Molecule: unclassified non-coding RNA, 20 nt
Filed under: Mus musculus (house mouse)
Lineage: Eukaryota; Metazoa; Chordata; Mammalia; Rodentia; Muridae
Description: oocyte_clustered_small_RNA13800
Source: RNAcentral